GCGUACGGCCAUACCACCUUGAGAACGCCCGAUCUCGUCUGAUCUCGGAACUAAGCAAAGUCGGGCCUGGUUAGUACUCUUGGAUGGGAGACCGCCUGGGGAAUAACCAGGUGGCUGUAAGCU
RNAcentral lists this ribosomal RNA (123 nucleotides) under Felis catus (domestic cat). The record is from RNAcentral. Lineage: Eukaryota; Metazoa; Chordata; Mammalia; Carnivora; Felidae.